AGUGAACGCUGGCGGUAGGCCUAACACAUGCAAGUCGAACGGCAGCACAGUAAGAGCUUGCUCUUACGGGUGGCGAGUGGCGGACGGGUGAGGAAUACAUCGGAAUCUACUUUUUCGUGGGGGAUAACGUAGGGAAACUUACGCUAAUACCGCAUACGACCUACGGGUGAAAGCAGGGGAUCUUCGGACCUUGCGCGAUUGAAUGAGCCGAUGUCGGAUUAGCUAGUUGGCGGGGUAAAGGCCCACCAAGGCGACGAUCCGUAGCUGGUCUGAGAGGAUGACCGGCAAAGUGGAACUGAGAACACGUCCAGGACCCCAAGGGGGGGCGGAGGGGGGAAUUUUGGCACAAGGGGGGAAGCCUUAACCCGCCAAUCCGGGGGGGGGAAGGAGGCCUUUGGGUUGGAAAGCCCUUUUUGUGGGAAAAAAAAGGAAGCGGUUUAACCCCCCGUUGUUGGGGGGGACCCAAAAAAAAACCCCCGGCCAAUCUCCU
This 490-nucleotide ribosomal RNA is filed under the name uncultured bacterium. RNAcentral's name for it is "partial 16S ribosomal RNA". It matches the Rfam family "Bacterial small subunit ribosomal RNA", at positions 29 to 506 of the family's 1533-position model. The record is from RNAcentral.